RNAcentral lists this ribosomal RNA (733 nucleotides) under Streptomyces sp. RNAcentral's name for it is "bacterial SSU rRNA". It matches the Rfam family "Bacterial small subunit ribosomal RNA", at positions 87 to 834 of the family's 1533-position model. The record is from RNAcentral. Lineage: Bacteria; Bacillati; Actinomycetota; Actinomycetes; Kitasatosporales; Streptomycetaceae.
GUGGAUUAGUGGCGAACGGGUGAGUAACACGUGGGCAAUCUGCCCUUCACUCUGGGACAAGCCCUGGAAACGGGGUCUAAUACCGGAUAACACCUGCCCGGGCAUCCGGGUGGGUUAAAAGCUCCGGCGGUGAAGGAUGAGCCCGCGGCCUAUCAGCUUGUUGGUGAGGUAGUGGCUCACCAAGGCGACGACGGGUAGCCGGCCUGAGAGGGCGACCGGCCACACUGGGACUGAGACACGGCCCAGACUCCUACGGGAGGCAGCAGUGGGGAAUAUUGCACAAUGGGCGAAAGCCUGAUGCAGCGACGCCGCGUGAGGGAUGACGGCCUUCGGGUUGUAAACCUCUUUCAGCAGGGAAGAAGCGAAAGUGACGGUACCUGCAGAAGAAGCGCCGGCUAACUACGUGCCAGCAGCCGCGGUAAUACGUAGGGCGCAAGCGUUGUCCGGAAUUAUUGGGCGUAAAGAGCUCGUAGGCGGCUUGUCACGUCGGGUGUGAAAGCCCGGGGCUUAACCCCGGGUCUGCAUUCGAUACGGGCUAGCUAGAGUGUGGUAGGGGAGAUCGGAAUUCCUGGUGUAGCGGUGAAAUGCGCAGAUAUCAGGAGGAACACCGGUGGCGAAGGCGGAUCUCUGGGCCAUUACUGACGCUGAGGAGCGAAAGCGUGGGGAGCGAACAGGAUUAGAUACCCUGGUAGUCCACGCCGUAAACGGUGGGAACUAGGUGUUGGCGACAUUC